UACGUAGGGUGCGAGCGUUGUCCGGAAUUACUGGGCGUAAAGAGCUCGUAGGUGGUUUGUCGCGUUGUUCGUGAAAACUCACAGCUUAACUGUGGGCGUGCGGGCGAUACGGGCAGACUGGAGUACUGCAGGGGAGACUGGAAUUCCUGGUGUAGCGGUGGAAUGCGCAGAUAUCAGGAGGAACACCGGUGGCGAAGGCGGGUCUCUGGGCAGUAACUGACGCUGAGGAGCGAAAGCUAAGGGAGCAAACAGG
RNAcentral lists this ribosomal RNA (253 nucleotides) under uncultured bacterium. RNAcentral's name for it is "partial 16S ribosomal RNA". It matches the Rfam family "Bacterial small subunit ribosomal RNA", at positions 524 to 776 of the family's 1533-position model. The record is from RNAcentral.